RNAcentral lists this ribosomal RNA (468 nucleotides) under uncultured bacterium. RNAcentral's name for it is "partial 16S ribosomal RNA". It matches the Rfam family "Bacterial small subunit ribosomal RNA", at positions 28 to 507 of the family's 1533-position model. The record is from RNAcentral.
GACGAACGCUGGCGGCGUGCUUAACACAUGCAAGUCGAACGGAAAGGCCCUGCUUUUGUGGGGUGCUCGAGUGGCGAACGGGUGAGUAACACGUGAGUAACCUGCCCUUGACUUUGGGAUAACUUCAGGAAACUGGGGCUAAUACCGGAUAGGAGCUCCUGCUGCAUGGUGGGGGUUGGAAAGUUUCGGCGGUUGGGGAUGGACUCGCGGCUUAUCAGCUUGUUGGUGGGGUUGUGGCUUACCAAGGCUUUGACGGGUAGCCGGCCUGAGAGGGUGACCGGCCACAUUGGGACUGGGAUACGGCCCAGACUCCUACGGGAGGCAGCAGUGGGGAAUAUUGCACAAUGGGCGGAAGCCUGAUGCAGCAACGCCGCGUGCGGGAUGACGGCCUUCGGGUUGUAAACCGCUUUCGCCUGUGACGAAGCGGGAGUGACGGUAAUGGGUAAAGAAGCACCGGCUAACUACGUA